CGGGGUGAGUAACGCGUGGGUAACCUACCCUGUACACACGGAUAACAUACCGAAAGGUAUGCUAAUACGGGAUAAUAUAUUUGAGAGGCAUCUCUUGAAUAUCAAAGGUGAGCCAGUACAGGAUGGACCCGCGUCUGAUUAGCUAGUUGGUAAGGUAACGGCUCACCAAGGCGACGAUCAGUAGCCGACCUGAGAGGGUGAUCGGCCACAUUGGAACUGAGACACGGUCCAG
This 232-nucleotide ribosomal RNA is filed under the name uncultured bacterium. Its description in RNAcentral is "partial 16S ribosomal RNA". It matches the Rfam family "Bacterial small subunit ribosomal RNA", at positions 104 to 334 of the family's 1533-position model. The record is from RNAcentral.